GAAAGUAAUAGUGAAAGUGUGUAUAAAAAAAAUAAUUAAAUUAUAUUAAAGUAUUGAUUUAAAAAAUUUUUUGAGGGCAUUAAUGAAUAGUACUGAAAAGGAAGUUUAAAUGUAAAAUUGUUAUAGUAGGAGUAAAAUUAUGUAUUUUGUGUAUCAAAGAUAUUAGAAAUAAAGUAUAGAGUAAUAUAAAUCUCGAAGUAGGAAUAGCUAUGUUUAAAAUAAGUUUUUGUUUUAAAAAAAUUUUAAAUUUAAACUUAAAGAUGAAAUGUUUUACGAGUUCUAUAUAUCUAGUUCUCUAAGAGAUAAAUAUAAUUUAGGUUUAUAGGUUAAUUUUUUAUAAGUCUAAGAGCAGGAGGGAAUAGCUUCUUGUUAAAAUUAUUUAUAAUAGAAUAUUUAAUGAAAUUAGUUUUUGUCUAGGUUUAGAAGUUGUCAUGAUGAGAAAGUAAUUUACUAAGUAAGAUUAAAAAUUUUAUUUUUUUAUUCUUUUUUUAGUAUUAGGGUGUUAUUUAAAAUAUUUAAGAGUAAGUAAGAAUUAAUAUAUAAGUAAAAUUAGUUUGUAUGAAAUGAGAAGUGGAAUAGGUUAAAAGAUUUAAUAAGUUUGUAGUAGUAAAAAGAAAUUCGGCAAAUUUCUUUUUUGCCUGUUUAUCAAAAACAUGUCUAUUUGGAGAAGUAAAUAGUCUGAUCUGCCCACUGAUAAUGAAUAUUAAAGGGCCGCGGUAUUACUGACCGUGCAAAGGUAGCAUAAUCAUUAGGCCUUUAAUUGGGGUCUAGAAUGAAUGAUUGGACAAAAAAAGAGCUGUCUCUAUAUUAGUUAUAGAAUUUAACUUUUAAGUGAAAAGGCUUAAAUAUUUCAAAGGGACGAUAAGACCCUAUAAAGCUUUACAUAUAUUAAAGUUUAAUUUAAUUUAUAAAAUAAAAGUUUAUUUUUAUAUUUAUGUUAUAUUGGGGCGAUAGAUAUAUAAGUAAGUAUAGCUGUUUUUAAAACAUUCGGGAAUAGGUGGGAUAGUUAAAAGAUCCUUUAUUUUAAGAUUUAAGACUAAGUUACUUUAGGGAUAACAGCGUUAUUUUUUUUGAGAGUCCUUAUCGAGAAAAAAGUUUGCGACCUCGAUGUUGAAUUAAAAUUUCUUUACGGCGCAGUUGUUGUAUAAGAAGGUCUGUUCGACCUUUAAAUUUUUACAUGAUUUGAGUUCAGACCGGCGUGAGCCAGGUCGGUUUCUAUCUUUUGAGCAAAAAUGUAUUACUUUAGUACGAAAGGAUUUAGUAAGUUGAAAUUUUUUUAAGGGGUGAA
RNAcentral lists this ribosomal RNA (1288 nucleotides) under Jonas distinctus. Its description in RNAcentral is "16S ribosomal RNA". The stretch from base 596 to 1288 matches the Rfam family "Archaeal large subunit ribosomal RNA", at positions 1423 to 2795 of the family's 2987-position model. Lineage: Eukaryota; Metazoa; Arthropoda; Malacostraca; Decapoda; Corystidae. The record is from RNAcentral.